UGGGCACACCGCAACUUUUAUGAGCAUCUUGUUAUAUAGCUCUUCGCGAGCUUUCCAAUUAAAGACUCUUUGUGAGCUUCUUGAUUAAUGACUCUCUGGAGCUACGUGAUAUGGCUUGCUUGAACUUCCCGAUAUAUGGCUAUCUGGAGCUUCCCGAUUAAUGGCUCUUCGAAGUUACCCAUUAUUGGCUCGCAUGAGCUUCUUGAUUAUGACUCUUAUGAGCUUCCCG
Molecule: long non-coding RNA, 229 nt
Filed under: Gossypium barbadense (sea-island cotton)
Lineage: Eukaryota; Viridiplantae; Streptophyta; Magnoliopsida; Malvales; Malvaceae
Description: long non-coding RNA (GBAR_LNC009400)
Source: RNAcentral